RNAcentral lists this ribosomal RNA (484 nucleotides) under uncultured bacterium. RNAcentral's name for it is "partial 16S ribosomal RNA". It matches the Rfam family "Bacterial small subunit ribosomal RNA", at positions 30 to 507 of the family's 1533-position model. The record is from RNAcentral.
AUUGAACGCUGGCGGAAUGCUUUACACAUGCAAGUCGAGCGGCAGCACGGGGGCAACCCUGGUGGCGAGCGGCGAACGGGUGAGUAACACAUCGGAACAUGCCCAGUCGUGGGGGAUAACACUUCGAAAGAAGUGCUAAUACCGCAUACGUCCUGAGGGAGAAAGCGGGGGAUCGCAAGACCUCGCGCGAUUGGAGUGGCCGAUGUCAGAUUAGCUAGUUGGUGGGGUAAAGGCCUACCAAGGCAACGAUCUGUAGCUGGUCUGAGAGGAUGAUCAGCCACACUGGGGCUGAGACACGGCCCAGACUCCUACGGGAGGCAGCAGUGGGGAAUUUUGGACAAUGGGGGCAACCCUGAUCCAGCCAUUCCGCGUGAGUGAAGAAGGCCUUCGGGUUGUAAAGCUCUUUCGGCAGGAACGAAACGGUGAGCUCUAACAUAGCUUGCUAAUGACGGUACCUGAAAAAGAAGCACCGGCUAACUACGUG